GCAGUCGUGGCCUACUGGUUAGGGCUUCAGGCUUGUAACCGGAGGGUUGGCGGUUCGAUCCCCAACCAGUAGGA
This 74-nucleotide transfer RNA is filed under the name Alosa alosa (allis shad). Its description in RNAcentral is "tRNA-OTHER". Lineage: Eukaryota; Metazoa; Chordata; Actinopteri; Clupeiformes; Clupeidae. The record is from RNAcentral.